RNAcentral lists this transfer RNA (72 nucleotides) under Merluccius polli (Benguela hake). It matches the Rfam family "tRNA". From Rfam's summary of the family: Transfer RNA (tRNA) molecules are approximately 80 nucleotides in length. Their secondary structure includes four short double-helical elements and three loops (D, anti-codon, and T loops). Lineage: Eukaryota; Metazoa; Chordata; Actinopteri; Gadiformes; Merlucciidae. The record is from Rfam by way of RNAcentral.
GUCUCUGUGGCGCAAUUGGUUAGCGCGUUCGGCUUAACCGAAAGGAUGGUGGUUCGAGCCCACCCAGGGACG